GCAUUAUACCGCGAAACUGCGAAUGGCUCAUUAAAUCAGUUAUCGUUUAUUUGAUAGCACCUUACUACUUGGAUAACCGUGGUAAUUCUAGAGCUAAUACAUGCUGAAAAUCCCGACUUCGGAAGGGAUGUAUUUAUUAGAUUAAAAACCAAUGCCCUCCGGGGCUCACUGGUGAUUCAUGAUAACUUCUCGAAUCGCAUGGCCUUGCGCCGGCGAUGGUUCAUUCAAAUUUCUGCCCUAUCAACUUUCGACUGCUGGGUCUUGGCCAGCAAUGGUGACAACGGGUAACGGAGGGUUAGGGCUCGACCCCGGAGAAGGAGCCUGAGAAACGUGAGUUAUAUAUUUUCCUACAAGACAGCAAGAGAUUUUUACAGUCGACAACAAAGCUAACAUUCCUACUCAUAGGGCUACUACAUCCAAGGAAGGCAGCAGGCGCGCAAAUUACCCAAUCCCGACACGGGGAGGUAGUGACAAUAAAUACUGAUACAGGGCUCUUUUGGGUCUUGUAAUUGGAAUGAGUACAAUUUAAAUCCCUUAACGAGGAACAAUUGGAGGGCAAGUCUGGUGAAAAAUUGCUGGCGCCGGAAAUAGUAAGCCCGUUGAAAUUACUAGUCGAGCAUUCGCCAUUGGCGGGAGAAUGCCGGCGAGACAACCCGGGCCGGGGGAGGUUACGGAGCUCUAGCUCUAUGCCAACCCCGGGCAGAGCCGACGGUCUAGGUGAUCUCGGCCUGUUUAGAGCGCGGAAGGGUGUCGGUCCUGUAUACACAUUUUGGGCGUGCAAGCGUCCCGAUGUCAGGGCUUAGGGACGUGCCAACCCCCUGCGAAAGCGGGGCAUUGCCUCAAAGUGCCCGCCGCACGAUGAGACGAUGGGAUAUAUCUCUC
Molecule: ribosomal RNA, 882 nt
Filed under: Volutella thailandensis
Lineage: Eukaryota; Fungi; Ascomycota; Sordariomycetes; Hypocreales; Nectriaceae
Description: partial 18S small subunit ribosomal RNA
Rfam family: Eukaryotic small subunit ribosomal RNA (bases 1-587)
Source: RNAcentral